CAGCAGCAGCGGUAAACAGAGAGGGAGCGGGAGGGGGAGAGAGAAGGAGAGUAAUGGUUUCGUUGAAACUCCAAAAGCGGCUUGCUGCCAGCGUCCUCAAGUGCGGCAAGGGGAAGGUGUGGCUCGAUCCGAAUGAAGUCAAUGAAAUCUCCAUGGCCAACUCCAGGCAGAACAUUAGAAAGCUAGUGAAGGAUGGUUUCAUCAUCAGGAAACCAACCAAAAUUCACUCGAGAUCUCGUGCUCGCCGAAUGAAGGAGGCCAAGAGGAAAGGCCGUCACUCUGGAUAUGGUAAGCGCAAAGGUACCAGGGAGGCUAGACUGCCUACCAAGGUGCUUUGGAUGAGGAGAUUGAGAGUCCUCAGGCGUUUGCUUCGCAAGUAUAGGGAAUCAAAGAAGAUUGACAAACACAUGUAUCAUGACAUGUACAUGAAGGUGAAGGGUAAUGUUUUCAAGAACAAGCGUGUGCUGAUGGAAAAUAUCCACAAGACAAAGGCUGAGAAGGCUAGAGAGAAAACCUUGUCCGACCAAUUUGAGGCUAGGAGGGCAAAGAACAAGGCAAGCAGAGAAAGAAAGUUUGCAAGGAGAGAAGAACGUUUGGCUCAGGGACCAGGAGGAGAGAAGCCAGUACAACCUGCAGCACCAGCCGCUGCUGCACCAGCCCAGCCAGCCCAGGGAUCUAAGAAGUCGAAGAAAUGAGCGUGAUGAAUUGUAAGGAGGGUUGGCGCUAUGCCUACUUUUUGUCCUUGUUAGUAUGGCAGUUUAGUAUGUUUGAUCCCUUUGCCCUUUUUGGCCUUUUAACUUUAAAAGACAAUGUUACUUGUACUGAAUUUGAAAGCUGGUUUAAAUUUUUGAUACGUUGAUCCUUUUAUAUGUUUUAAUCGUUUUUCU
RNAcentral lists this unclassified non-coding RNA (887 nucleotides) under Hevea brasiliensis (rubber tree). The record is from RNAcentral. Lineage: Eukaryota; Viridiplantae; Streptophyta; Magnoliopsida; Malpighiales; Euphorbiaceae.